AUGUGGGGAAUUUUCUCCUUCUCACCCUACUUGGGAGGAUGGGAGCUUCUGUCUUCCUUGGGAGAAGUACAGUUGCUGCCAAGGGAAACACAGCUGAGGAGCAGGAGUGACCCAGCCUUCCCUUUGCUUCCUUUCUUCUUCCCUCCCUGCUGCACAGCUCCCUUGCUCCAGAAGCGCGAUGCUGCCUCACCUGAGGAUUCAGAGCUGCCUCCAGGCCCUUGCAGGAGAAGUGCAGCUGCUCAGGAGAGGGAGGCUUCCCCAGCACCUGCCAAGAAAGUCUGUGCCACCUCUGCACUUGUUGGGGCUUCACCAGUGGAACCAUCAAGAGAGCUCAUCCAGAGAUUUAAUCUCCGCAAGCUCACGGUUCCACUGGUUCGCCUGGACCUGAAACGCCAUCCUGAGCUCAUGGUUCACCUCACUCCAGUCGACCCUGAAGCUGCUUGCAGGGCCCUUGGACAGAGCAACAGCUGCUCAUCUUCUCAGCAGCACAGCCCAGCCUGCCACCCAUCAGCUCCUUGGUGCCAGAAGCGCAGUGCUGCCUCACCUGAGGAUUCAGAGCUGCCUCCAGGCCCUUCCAGGACAAGUCCAGAUCCUCAAGGGCGUGAAGCUUCCCCAGCACGUGCCAAGAAAGUGUUUGCUGCAUCUGGACUUGGGGUUUCAUCAGGCCAGCCAGGCACACACAAAUUUCAAUUCCAGCCAGAGCUCAUGACUCCACCAUUUCCUGCGCACCAUCAAAGCACUUCUGCGGCCUCUCCAGAGAGCAGCAGCUGCACUUCUCCAGAGCAGCACUUGCCAGCCAACAUCCCAUCAGCCGCCCCGGGCACUUCAGUCCCCAGUGCUCCAGCUGGCAGUGCUGGUUAUGCAGCAUGGAGAGCCCCAAGCUGGGUAUGGAGUACUCCUGGGGAAGAGGAAUUGCCACCGCUGGAUCUGGACCUUGUUCUGGAGACACUGGAGGAGAUGCUUUCACCAUCUGUGCCUGAAAGGUCUCCCUCUGCUCAGGUCAAUGCUAGUGUUGCCCGUGGCUCUUCAGGAGGGGAGGCUGUGAACAAGGCUGCAGCAGAGGGAGCUUUGCCUGCUUGCGGGAGCUGUGUGAACGUUUGCCAGGAGCCCGAGGAGCUUGAUAUCCAUGUGAUCUACCUGGCCAGAAGGGCUGCCCUGCGUGGGAAGAAGGAUCAGAGGGAGAGCCUGUGA
This 1191-nucleotide long non-coding RNA is filed under the name Cyanistes caeruleus (blue tit). RNAcentral describes it as "lncRNA (ENSCCEG00000004347.1)". The record is from RNAcentral. Lineage: Eukaryota; Metazoa; Chordata; Aves; Passeriformes; Paridae.